AGGGGGGCAAGCGUUGUCGGAUUUAUUGGGCGUAAAGGGUGCGUAGGCGGUUUGGCAAGUCUCGUGUGAAAUCUAUGGGCUCAACCCAUAGUCUGCACGAGAAACUACCGGGCUUGAGUGAUGGAGAGGUGAGUGGAAUUUCCGGUGUAGCGGUGAAAUGCGUAGAUAUCGGAAGGAACACCUGUGGCGAAAGCGGCUCACUGGACAUUAACUGACGCUGAUGCACGAAAGCUAGGGGAGCAAACAGGAUUAGAUACCCUGGUAGUCCUAGCCCUAAACGAUGAUUGCUUGGUGUGGCAGGUACCCAAUCCUGCCGUGCCGAAGCUAACGCGAUAAGCAAUCCGCCUGGGGAGUACGGUCGCAAGACUGAAACUCAAAGGAAUUGACGGGGGCCCGCACAAGCGGUGGAGCAUGUGGUUUAAUUCGACGCAACGCGAAGAACCUUACCUGGGCUCGAAAUGCUAGUGAAUCCGGCAGAAACGUCGGCGUCUCGCAAGAGACACUAGUAUAGGUGCUGCAUGGCUGUCGUCAGCUCGUGUCGUGAGAUGUUGGGUUAAGUCCCGCAACGAGCGCAACCCUUAUCUUCAGUUGCUACCAUUUAGUUGAGCACUCUGACGAAACCGCCUCGGAUAACGGGGAGGAACGUGGGAAUGACGUCAGUCCCAUGGCCUUUAUGUCCGGGCUACCACGUGCUUNNCA
This 699-nucleotide ribosomal RNA is filed under the name uncultured Acidobacteriota bacterium. RNAcentral describes it as "bacterial SSU rRNA". It matches the Rfam family "Bacterial small subunit ribosomal RNA", at positions 528 to 1231 of the family's 1533-position model. Lineage: Bacteria; Pseudomonadati; Acidobacteriota. The record is from RNAcentral.